Molecule: long non-coding RNA, 535 nt
Organism: Wasmannia auropunctata (little fire ant)
Lineage: Eukaryota; Metazoa; Arthropoda; Insecta; Hymenoptera; Formicidae
Exons: 3
Source: RefSeq, a predicted model, not a curated record
AGUUAACGAUAAUUAUUCUUAUCAAAUGGAAAAUAUUUGAUUCAAUUUCAUUUGCUAUAUGAAAAGUGCACUCACGCAUACAUAUUAUAGCGAUAAAACAUUUUACAAUUUUGAUUCGUCUCCGAAAUAUCCGCACAGAUAAAAUUAUGGCGUAUGAAUGAGACAAAUAUACAUUAAUAAUGCUCUAAUUAUUCUAAUUGUUGAGCACAUAAUAUUCAUGCCGUAAAUACGAUAUCGUUGGAUAUCGAUCAUUGGAAUAUUUGAUAAGUGGAACUCUCAUUGUCCGUAAUGUUUUCGGCACGUUAUUGCAUCGAUAUUUCUGCGAAAAUAUUGCAGCUUCGAGAUGAUCGACAUAAUUCUGCUGCAGAGGAAAGCGUGCCGCUUUCGUCCGGUAGCAUCCGUCUUCCAUUUAACGCGUCCAUUUAACUGCUGACACUUUACACAUCGGCACUCAGGUGUCAAAUAGAUGGUUGUUCUAUAUAACGGGAACCAGAACGUCAAUUUUUGCUACAUUGAGAUGAAAAAUAUAUAUCAG